GACGAACGCUGGCGGCGUGGAUUAGGCAUGCAAGUCGAACGGUAUCAUCCUUUCGGGGGUGAGAGAGUGGCGAACUGGUGAGUAACACGUAGGUUAUCUACCCUCAAGACGGGGACAACCCAGGGAAACUUGGGCUAAUACCGGAUGUGAGCAACUUUUAGUUGUUUGAAAGGUGGCGUAAGCUGUCGCUUGGGGAUGAGCCUGCGUCCUAUUAGUUAGUUGGUGAGGUAACGGCUCACCUAGGCAAUGAUAGGUAGGCGGCCUUAACGGGUGGUCGCCCACACUGGGAUUGAGAUACGGCCCAGACUCCUACGGGAGGCAGCAGUCGAGAAUAGUCUACAAUGGUCGGAAGACUGAUAGUGCGACGCCGCGUGAACGAUGAAUCCCUUCGGGGUGUAAAGUUCUUUUAUAUGUGAGCAGUGCUUUCUUAUAUUUAACAGUAUGGGGAGAGAGAUAUUAGCAUAUGAAUAAGCAACGGCUAACUCCGUGCCAGCAGCCGCGGU
Molecule: ribosomal RNA, 503 nt
Filed under: uncultured bacterium
Lineage: Bacteria
Description: bacterial SSU rRNA
Rfam family: Bacterial small subunit ribosomal RNA
Source: RNAcentral